CGGCGAGGGGAGUGAAAAAGAACCUGAAACCGUGUACGUACAAGCAGUAGGAGCCUCUUUAUGGGGUGACUGCGUACCUUUUGUAUAAUGGGUCAGCGACUUAUAUUCUGUAGCAAGGUUAACCGCAUAGGGGAGCCGUAGGGAAACCGAGUCUUAACUGGGCGAAUGAGUUGCAGGGUAUAGACCCGAAACCCGGUGAUCUAUCCAUGGGCAGGUUGAAGGUUGGGUAACACUAACUGGAGGACCGAACCGACUAAUGUUGAAAAAUUAGCGGAUGACUUGUGGAUGGGGGUGAAAGGCCAAUCAAACCGGGAGAUAGCUGGUUCUCCCCGAAAGCUAUUUAGGUAGCGCCUCGUGAACUCAUCUUCGGGGGUAGAGCACUGUUUCGACUAGGGGGUCAUCCCGACUUACCAACUCGAUGCAAACUGCGAAUACCGAAGAAUGUUAUCACGGGAGACACACGGCGGGUGCUAACGUCCGUCGUGAAGAGGGAAACAACCCAGACCGCCAGCUAAGGUCCCAAAGUCAUGGUUAAGUGGGAAACGAAGUGGGAAGGCUCAGACAGCCAGGAUGUUGGCUUAGAAGCAGCCAUCAUUUAAAGAAAGCGUAAUAGCUCACUGGUCGAGUCGGCCCGCGCGGAAGAUGUAACGGGGCUAAACCAUGCACCGAAGCUGCGGCAGCGACACAUAGUGUUGUUGGGUAGGGGAGCGUUCUGUAAGCCUGCGAAGGUGUACUGUGAGGUAUGCUGGAGGUAUCAGAAGUGCGAAUGCUGACAUAAGUAACGAUAAUGCGGGUGAAAAACCCGCACGCCGGAAGACCAAGGGUUCCUGUCCAACGUUAAUCGGGGCAGGGUGAGUCGACCCCUAAGGCGAGGCUGAAAAGCGUAGUCGAUGGGAAACGGGUUAAUAUUCCCGUACUGGUGGUAACUGCGAUGGGGGAACGGAGAAGGCUAGGUUGUCCGGGCGACGGUCGUCCCGGUUCAAGCAGGUAGGCAGAGUGAUUAGGCAAAUCCGGUCACUUAAUGCUGAGAUGUGAUGACGAACCACUAAGGUGGUGAAGCAAUUGAUGCCCCGCUUCCAGGAAAAGCCUCUAAGCUUCAGGUUACCAACAAUCGUACCCCAAACCGACACAGGUGGUCAGGUAGAGAAUACUCAGGCGCUUGAGAGAACUCGGGUGAAGGAACUAGGCAAAAUGGUGCCGUAACUUCGGGAGAAGGCACGCUGGCGGUAGGUAAAGUCCCUCGCGGACGGCGCUGAAGCCAGUCGAAGAUACCAGCUGGCUGCAACUGUUUAUUAAAAACACAGCACUGUGCAAACACGAAAGUGGACGUAUACGGUGUGACGCCUGCCCGGUGCUGGAAGGUUAAUUGAUGGGGUCAGCCGCAAGGCGAAGCUCCUGAUCGAAGCCCCAGUAAACGGCGGCCGUAACUAUAACGGUCCUAAGGUAGCGAAAUUCCUUGUCGGGUAAGUUCCGACCUGCACGAAUGGCGUAAUGAUGGCCAGGCUGUCUCCACCCGAGACUCAGUGAAAUUGAACUCGCUGUGAAGAUGCAGUGUACCCGCGGCAAGACGGAAAGACCCCGUGAACCUUUACUAUAGCUUGACACUGAACAUUGAGCCUUGAUGUGUAGGAUAGGUGGGAGGCUUUGAAGUGUGGACGCCAGUCUGCAUGGAGCCAACCUUGAAAUACCACCCUUUAACGUUUGAUGUUCUAACCUAGGCCCAUAAACUGGGUCGGGGACCGUGUCUGGUGGGUAGUUUGACUGGGGCGGUCUCCUCCUAAAGAGUAACGGAGGAGCACGAAGGUUGGCUAAGCAUGGUCGGACAUCAUGCGGUUAGUGCAAAGGCAUAAGCCAGCUUGACUGCGAGAGUGACGGCUCGAGCAGGUACGAAAGUAGGUCUUAGUGAUCCGGUGGUUCUGAAUGGAAGGGCCAUCGCUCAACGGAUAAAAGGUACUCCGGGGAUAACAGGCUGAUACCGCCCAAGAGUUCAUAUCGACGGCGGUGUUUGGCACCUCGAUGUCGGCUCAUCACAUCCUGGGGCUGAAGUAGGUCCCAAGGGUAUGGCUGUUCGCCAUUUAAAGUGGUACGCGAGCUGGGUUUAGAACGUCGUGAGACAGUUCGGUCCCUAUCUGCCGUGGGCGUUGGAAGAUUGAGAGGGGUUGCUCCUAGUACGAGAGGACCGGAGUGAACGCACCACUGGUGUUCGGGUUGUCAUGCCAAUGGCAUUGCCCGGUAGCUAAGUGCGGAAGAGAUAACCGCUGAAAGCAUCUAAGCGGGAAACUUGCCUCGAGAUGAGUCUUCCCUGUCACUUUAAGUGACCUAAAGGAACGUUUAAGACUAAGACGUUGAUAGGCUGGGUGUGUAAGCGUAGCGAUACGUUGAGCUAACCAGUACUAAUGAACCGUGAGGCUUAACCU
This 2417-nucleotide ribosomal RNA is filed under the name Proteus mirabilis. RNAcentral describes it as "bacterial LSU rRNA". It matches the Rfam family "Bacterial large subunit ribosomal RNA", at positions 527 to 2925 of the family's 2925-position model. RNAcentral also lists the same sequence under 1 other name. Lineage: Bacteria; Pseudomonadati; Pseudomonadota; Gammaproteobacteria; Enterobacterales; Morganellaceae. The record is from RNAcentral.